This 446-nucleotide ribosomal RNA is filed under the name uncultured bacterium. Its description in RNAcentral is "bacterial SSU rRNA". It matches the Rfam family "Bacterial small subunit ribosomal RNA", at positions 329 to 792 of the family's 1533-position model. The record is from RNAcentral.
AUCCAGACUCCUACGGGAGGCAGCAGUGGGGAAUAUUGCACAAUGGGGGAAACCCUGAUGCAGCGACGCCGCGUGAGUGAAGAAGUAAUUCGUUAUGUAAAGCUCUAUCAGCAGGGAAGAAGAUGACGGUACCUGAGUAAGAAGCCCCGGCUAACUACGUGCCAGCAGCCGCGGUAAUACGUAGGGGGCAAGCGUUAUCCGGAUUUACUGGGUGUAAAGGGAGCGUAGACGGUCCUGCAAGCCAGAUGUGAAAGCCCGGGGCUCAACCCCGGGACUGCAUUUGGAACUGGAAGGCUAGAGUGUCGGAGAGGCAGGCGGAAUUCCUGGUGUAGCGGUGAAAUGCGUAGAUAUUAGGAGGAACACCAGUGGCGGAGGCGGCCUGCUGGACGAUGACUGACGUGGAGGCUCGAAAGCGUGGGGAGCAAACAGGAUUAGAUCCCCCUGUA